UUACUUGGGUGGAAGUGAAACAGUCAGAAAAAAUGACCCCUCCCUUCUGAGGAGCUGUAAUGAUUAAAUUUGCAGUUUUCCCAACUCUUCAUAAUUCUAAAUUUAAAUGGAUUUCUCUGCAGAACAGAAAAUCUUCCUCCUGACAAAGCCAAACUGAUGUCCUUGGGAAGGUACUUCAGGGAAAGGUUGAGCCUUUACCUCGUUAAGCAAAUGGAGCUCAAUUUACUACCAUUGCAAUUCAACUGAGGUCAGGAGAUGGCACUAGUCAUAAAAUUAAUAUAAAAGCUAUUUAAGUAUUAUGGUAAAACAAAGGGUGUGUUGCACAUAUGGAGCUGAUUUACUAAUCGUUAUCAUUAACAAAACAAUUAUUACGAUUAGAAGUAGCUUAUACAGCAAAAUGUUUUGCUGGCUAACUAUUAUGCCCCAUGUAGGAAAGUGUGUUGCAUGUCCUGGUAGCAGUCUGAAGGGGGUAUAUAAAACCACUGUGUUUCCUCCACGUUCACCAGCAACUUCUCUUCAGUCUGGUUUUCUCUGUGAGCCUGGUUUACCUACAUCACAAAAGAUGUCUUCAGGAGGACAGCUCUUGAGCAGCAGAUGCGCUGGACCCUGCGAGGUCACCUGCCCAGAGCCCUGUGCCCAGGCCUGGAACCAGCCCUGUGUCACCUCCUGUGGGGAUUCCCGUGCCGUGGUCUACCCACCACCAGUGAUCAUCACCUUCCCAGGCCCCAUCCUCGCCUCUUGUCCUCAGGAGAGCUUUGUGGGCACCUCGCUACCAACACCCAUUGGGGGAGGGUUUUCAGGGGCACUAGGCUCUGCUGAAUCAGGAGGCUCAUUUGGCUCUGGGGGCUCCUAUGGAGGAGGAAGUUCAUUUGGGAUGGGGGGCUCAUAUGGAGGGAGUGGUUCCUUGGGCUCUGGGGGUUCCUAUGGAGGAGGCAGUUCAUUUGGGGGCUCACACAGAAGCAGAUCCUUCCGUUUUGGCUCCAACUCCCACGGCGGGGGCUUCGGGGGCUCCUUUGGAGGAGGCAGCUCCUACGGUGGGGGCUCCUUUGGAGGGGGCCGGUCCUUUGGAGGGGGCAGCUCUCAGAGUGGUGGGGGCUACUCUAGUUCCCGGAGGUUUGGUGGAGGAAGCUGUGGCUCUGGCUUUUUCUGAAGGGCCGUAUCUUGUGCUUCGGCAGCCCUGGGCUGUGCUGACCUCACAGGGGAAGCUGCAAGCCGGUGAUGUCCAAGUGAUCAACUUUGUUGGCACCCAUGGAGAUCCAUCGCUUCCCAAAGCCCUGGGAAAUGUCCUUUGUGCCUUGUGUGACUGUCUUCACCAAAUGUAUCCUGUACUGCUUCCCUGUAAUUAAAGCUAUGUUGCAUUCAGACUGAA
This is a long non-coding RNA of Columba livia (rock pigeon), 1369 nucleotides long. RefSeq lists it as uncharacterized. NCBI's taxonomy places the organism in Eukaryota, Metazoa, Chordata, Aves, Columbiformes, Columbidae. The transcript has 2 exons. The record is from RefSeq and is a predicted model, not a curated record.